This 375-nucleotide unclassified non-coding RNA is filed under the name Hevea brasiliensis (rubber tree). The record is from RNAcentral. Lineage: Eukaryota; Viridiplantae; Streptophyta; Magnoliopsida; Malpighiales; Euphorbiaceae.
UUGUUGCUUUCAUAUAGAUGCUCCCGAAGUGUCCCAUUGAUCAUAUAGUCAUAAACCAGGAUCAUUUCGCCUUCAUCAAUGCAAUAUCCAAUCAAAGAUACUAGAUUAACAUGGCGGAGUUGGGACAGCAUUUCUAUCUCAGUUUUGAAUUCGUGAAUUCCUUGCUUCGAUGAUGAAUCCAAACGUUUGAUUGCAACUGGGAUGGAUCCACAGCCAAUAUAUCCUUUAUACACAUUGCCGAAUCCACCGGAACCAAUAAAAUUUUCAUCAUCAAAAUUUUUUGUAGCUGCUUUCAUUUCAACUAUUGUAAAUCGACGGCAACGGUCGGAUGGCAGUGAUGAAACAAUUUGAGUGGACGGCAUGGAUUUGGCCUCA